GAUGAACGCUAGCGGCAGGCCUAAUACAUGCAAGUCGAGGGGCAGCGGGAAUAGCAAUAUUUGCCGGCGACCGGCGCACGGGUGCGUAACACGUAUACAAUCUGCCCAUAUCAGGGGGAUAGCCCGGAGAAAUCCGGAUUAAUACCCCAUAAUAGUCGAGGAGGCAUCUUCUUGAUUUGAAAGCUACGGCGGAUAUGGAUGAGUAUGCGUCUGAUUAGUUAGUUGGUGAGGUAACGGCUCACCAAGACCACGAUCAGUAGGGGAUCUGAGGGGAUUAACCCCCCACACGGAUACUGAGACACGGAUCCGACUCCUACGGGAGGCAGCAGUAAGGAAUAUGGACAAUGCCCGCAAGGGUGAUCCAGCCAUGCCGCGUGCAGGAAGAAGGCCCUAUGGGUCGUAAACUGCUUUUACACCGGAGAAAACCCCCUUACGUGUAAGGGGCUGAUAGUAUGGUGAGAAUAAGCAUCGGCUAACUUCGUAGCC
This 486-nucleotide ribosomal RNA is filed under the name uncultured bacterium. RNAcentral describes it as "bacterial SSU rRNA". It matches the Rfam family "Bacterial small subunit ribosomal RNA", at positions 28 to 510 of the family's 1533-position model. The record is from RNAcentral.